UACGUAGGCAGCAAGCGUUGUUCGGAAUUACUGGGCGUAAAGAGUGUGUAGGCGGUGCUCUAAGUUCGGUGUGAAAUCUCCCGGCUUAACUGGGAGGGUGCGGCGGAAACUGGGGUGCUGGAGUGCGGGAGAGGUAAGCGGAAUUCCCGGGGUAGCGGUGAAAUGCGUAGAUAUCGGGAGGAACACCUGCGGUGUAGACGGCUUACUGGACCGUAACUGACGCUGAGGCACGAAAGCGUGGGGAGCAAACAGG
RNAcentral lists this ribosomal RNA (253 nucleotides) under uncultured bacterium. Its description in RNAcentral is "partial 16S ribosomal RNA". It matches the Rfam family "Bacterial small subunit ribosomal RNA", at positions 524 to 776 of the family's 1533-position model. The record is from RNAcentral.